GCAUAAACGAGCAAAAGGCAAGGUUUCUGAUUCACAAUGCUUAAUUGCUCAGAUAAUUGUUGUUGCUGGAUUAAUUUCUAUAUUUUAAAAUACGAACUGGUUGUCUUUCACAUAGUCCAGCUAAGAAAGCCUAUGUUACUGAUUAAGAACUAAGAACACUAUUCCAUUUAAUUGUAGCGAAAGAGAGAAAAUCCUAAUGAACCAGGUUCACCAACUUUUACUAUGUACUUAUGUACUAUCCCUUAUUUACUAUCCCUUAUUUACUCCGUCUUAUUUACUAUGUGAUGUCCCUCAUUAGGUUCAUAGUAUCUUCUGUAGCAGCAAUGCCCUCUAGAUCCCUUAUCACAACAAGGAAGGUAUCAACUUGGCCUCCUUUCUCUCUGAGAAUAAAGCAAACAGUUAUGCUUCACUUUACUCCGCUAAUUUGAUGCGUGACUCCUCGCUCAACGACCGAGUGGAGCUCCAAAUUCUGGGUGACGUUGGUGCCAAGAUCUGAGUCAUGAACUUCGAUACCCCUGAUGUUCAGCUGAAAUUUGAUGGGUUUAGAAGGAUCGAAAUAAUGAAGUUUUGAAUGCAAGUGAACCUUGGAGCAAGAAAAAGUGAAUCGUGAUGCAAGCUUCAGGGAUAGGAACAAUUUUGGAGGUUUUGGGUGUUUGAUUCUGGAUAAUCUAGCUAAUUGGUUACUCGGUUGCUCAGACCCCAUUCCUGAAAAUAACAUCCUUAGAUUCCAUGAAAGGAUACUUAGGAUAUAUGAUGACUUUGUCUGGCCUUUGAAUCUUUCUUCCUUAGCAAGUGAGAACAAAUUUUUGGCCGUAAAGCUAAAGCAGGCGGCAAAUGGUAUUUUUCCAGAAUCUAAUGCUUCGUCGGUGAAUGACUGAGGUAAUCCAAGAAACGUUGAGAAGUGCAAGCAUACUGUCAUUCACAUUCAGAGAAGUAGUGGAAGAUGUGGAGCUUCAAGAUUACUACAUUUCCAAAAACUAGAAGGUCCUUCCACUCUUCAAAGCAUUCACCAUUCUGCUGAUUUCUUCCCUCAACCACACAAAUUCGACCCCUCACGCUUCGAGAUGGCAAAAUUUUGGAGGAAGAUAUUUUAAAUUUGGGGAGCCAGAUAGAAGAUACACAGGAAGAAACAAAAUCAUAAUAUUCAUAAUAUUAUGUUAUUUUUCUUACUUUCAAGGUAUUAGCCAAGUUAGUUACCUUGUUUUAUGUAUGAGAUAUAUCUGACACUGUUAGAAAUUGGAGCCAAUCUAAGUGAAAACAUUUAGAAUUAAAAAAUUAUGUUAUAUUUUAUAUUUUAUUUGUAUUGAAGUUAUUACUUUUGAUUUUUAAUACUAAAAAAUUUUAUAUUA
This is a non-coding RNA of Arachis ipaensis, 1349 nucleotides long. The record is from RefSeq and is a predicted model, not a curated record. NCBI's taxonomy places the organism in Eukaryota, Viridiplantae, Streptophyta, Magnoliopsida, Fabales, Fabaceae.